UUCGUAUUACUUUCUUUUUCUUGUUUCUAGUGUUCUUAGCCAUCUCCACGGCAUGCACAGAAGGGGCAGAGGCAUAGUACACAUCAUGCCUUCAUGAUAAGUCUUGUAUGAAGGUACGAAGCAUUCAAUAAUUCGUGAGAGGAGCACCCAAAAGGAUGGAUUUGCAUUAAGUUUUUUGUCCUAGAUUUUGUACAGUAUGUGAGAAAUUUAUAUGUUCCAUCUAUGUACUGAUUCUCUUAUCCCUCAAAACAUAUAUGAGGAACCGUGUACUUGUUAUAUGUCAGAGAUAACAUUAUCAACUGCUACAGAGAAGCAUAUUCUAGAGCUAUAUGCAUUAUGUUAUUUA
Molecule: long non-coding RNA, 346 nt
Organism: Panicum virgatum (switchgrass)
Lineage: Eukaryota; Viridiplantae; Streptophyta; Magnoliopsida; Poales; Poaceae
Exons: 2
Source: RefSeq, a predicted model, not a curated record